GACGAACGCUGGCGGCGUGCCUAAUACAUGCAAGUAGAACGCUGAAGGAGGAGCUUGCUUCUCUGGAUGAAUUGCGAACGGGUGAGUAACGCGUAGGUAACCUGCCUGGUAGCGGGGGAUAACUAUUGGAAACGAUAGCUAAUACCGCAUAACAGUAGAUAUCGCAUGAUAUCUACUUGAAAGGUGCAAUUGCAUCACUACCAGAUGGACCUGCGUUGUAUUAGCUAGUUGGUGAGGUAACGGCUCACCAAGGCGAGGAUACAUAGCCGACCGGAGAGGGGGAUCGGCCACACUGGGACUGAGACACGGCCCAGACUCCUACGGGAGGCAGCAGUAGGGAAUCUUCGGCAAUGGACGGAAGUCUGACCGAGCAACGCCGCGUGAGUGAAGAAGGUUUUCGGAUCGUAAAGCUCUGUUGUAAGAGAAGAACGAGUGUGAGAGUGGAAAGUUCACACUGUGACGGUAUCUUACCAGAAAGGGACGGCUAACUACGUG
Molecule: ribosomal RNA, 495 nt
Filed under: uncultured bacterium
Lineage: Bacteria
Description: partial 16S ribosomal RNA
Rfam family: Bacterial small subunit ribosomal RNA
Source: RNAcentral